Molecule: long non-coding RNA, 1017 nt
Organism: Clupea harengus (Atlantic herring)
Lineage: Eukaryota; Metazoa; Chordata; Actinopteri; Clupeiformes; Clupeidae
Source: Ensembl
AACGCGAGGGCACGGCAGUAUGGCAGAGUUCCCACUGAAACUGAUAGUUUCCGUCACAGCUCACUUCCGUCUGCCAGUUUCGCCUGCCAGUUUCUGACAUGCCAGUAAAACCGCAGUGGUGUUAGGUGUCCCCAUUUCUCUGAACAGCCUCAUCAAAGCUAGCAGGCAGGUAGUACAUAUCUUCCAGGUGUCCCCAUUUCAAGUAUCAGCCUCAUCAAAGAGCUCUGUGUUUCACCCACACAACAUGCAUGAAGAGAAGAGAAAAAAAUCAAUGGACAUAAAAACACUUUUCAUCACAGCCUUGGUUCUAGCUGUGUUUGGAACCAUCUGUGUGCUCGUCACCACGUUUGCACCGUGGAGGAAGACAUAUGUCCAGAGCUGUCAACUACCAUAUGUGACCUAUGACGGAAUUUGGUAUUACUGUAUGUCGUAUGUCGACUGGCACCACGGUUUAAAGUGUGUGCCUAACCUGAAUGUCAAAAGGAUCACGCCAUCAUUCCUACAGAAGGGGUACAGUCCAGCAUUCCUCCAGGCCUCGCGGGUCCUCGUGUGUGUCUCCCUGGCCUGUGUGCUCUCUGCGUGGGCUCCUCUCAUCCUUGGUCUGAGGCGCUUCCUUCAGCACAGAGAGAUGCGUAUCCCACUCAUCACUGCAGGCUCCAUGCUACUCACGGCAGCAGUUGUGUUUCUCAUUCCAGUAACAGUCUCCACAGUCAAUCUGGAACAAUUGUUCCCACAGAAGAUUAUCAGGCAUUUUGACACUAUCGGACUCGGUCUGUAUUUGGGUUGGGCUGGUUCUGGUUUCCUUGUGGUGGCUGGGGUGAUUGUGCUUUGUUGCAACAUGUCUUCCGUAACAAGUGGAAGAGAGAGAAGUACUGAGGAGGCUUCUCCAUGCAUGACGUAUAAUGCUUUACAGAAAACAGACACUACACAGUUGUCACAAGUUUGGAUUGUAUGAAUUCUUGUCAACAUGGCUCUGUAUUGCUAGAGGACACAUCCACAUACCAUUACACUGACACA